This 475-nucleotide ribosomal RNA is filed under the name Enterobacter hormaechei. RNAcentral describes it as "partial 23S ribosomal RNA". It matches the Rfam family "Bacterial large subunit ribosomal RNA", at positions 718 to 1191 of the family's 2925-position model. Lineage: Bacteria; Pseudomonadati; Pseudomonadota; Gammaproteobacteria; Enterobacterales; Enterobacteriaceae. The record is from RNAcentral. RNAcentral also lists the same sequence under 1 other name.
AAACCCGGUGAUCUAGCCAUGGGCAGGUUGAAGGUUGGGUAACACUAACUGGAGGACCGAACCGACUAAUGUUGAAAAAUUAGCGGAUGACCUGUGGCUGGGGGUGAAAGGCCAAUCAAACCGGGAGAUAGCUGGUUCUCCCCGAAAGCUAUUUAGGUAGCGCCUCGUGAACUCAUCUUCGGGGGUAGAGCACUGUUUCGGCUAGGGGGCCAUCCCGGCUUACCAACCCGAUGCAAACUACGAAUACCGAAGAAUGUUAUCACGGGAGACACACGGCGGGUGCUAACGUCCGUCGUGAAGAGGGAAACAACCCAGACCGCCAGCUAAGGUCCCAAAGUCAUGGUUAAGUGGGAAACGAUGUGGGAAGGCACAGACAGCCAGGAUGUUGGCUUAGAAGCAGCCAUCAUUUAAAGAAAGCGUAAUAGCUCACUGGUCGAGUCGGCCUGCGCGGAAGAUGUAACGGGGCUAAACCAUG